GAAGAUGAUCAUGAGUCUUGAAGUAGAGCACAGAAGGAUCUACACUAAUGGAAUAUGGAUGCACAUAGCAGAAAAAGGCCAAGGACCUCUUAUUCUCCUUAUUCAUGGCUUUCCUGAGCUUGCUGGGUUCAUCAGAUUAAUCACUUGUCGGCACAUGGUUAUCAUGUGGUUGCACCUGAUAUGCGAGGCUAUGGAGACUCCGACUGUCCUCCGCAUCCUUCCUCCUAUACUCUUUUCCAUACAGUUGGAGACUUGAUUGGCCUUCUUGAUGAGCUUGGAAAAGAACAGGCAUUUGUGAUAGGACAUGACUGGGGUGCAGAAAUUGCAUGGCACCUUUGCCUUUUCAGGCCAGAUAGAGUAAAGGCUCUCGUUAACUUAGGCGUCCCUUAUCGGCCACGUUCCCCACAGUUCAAACCUUCUCACUACUUCACUAAAUAUGGACGAGGCUUCUACAUCUCCCAGUUCCAGGAGCCUGGAGGAGCAGAAAAUUCUUUCUCCAAGUAUGACUCGGUGACAAUUCUGAAGAAGUUUCUGUUGAUCAAUGCUCCUGAUCUUCUAGCAGCACCUCCAGGGGUUGAGAUUAUAGAUUUUCUCGAGACCCCAUCUUUGUUGCCUCCAUGGAUUACUGAAGAAGAGCUCCAAUUUUCUGCUAGCAAGUUUCAGAAAACUGGUUUCACAGGGGCCCUGAACUAUUACCGUGCUAUGGACUUGAACUGGGAGCUUCUUGGGGCAUGGCAGGGAGCUAAAAUUACAGUGCCUACAAAAUUGAUAAUUGGUGACAAGGAUUUGGGGUUUGUAUCAUUUGGGACAAAGGACUACAUUAAUGGAGAAAUAUUCAAGAGCUUUGUACCUAACCUUGAAGUGGUUGUCAUUGAUGGGCACCAUUUUAUCCAGCAGGAGAAAGCUGAACAAGUUUCUAAUGAAAUUUUAUCCUUUUUUAGCAAGAAACCAAAGAUGUGAUCAAUGAAUCAAUUAUGCAAAUAGUUUAGC
Molecule: unclassified non-coding RNA, 990 nt
Filed under: Hevea brasiliensis (rubber tree)
Lineage: Eukaryota; Viridiplantae; Streptophyta; Magnoliopsida; Malpighiales; Euphorbiaceae
Source: RNAcentral